UACGAAGGGGGCAAGCGUUGUUCGGAUUUACUGGGCGUAAAGGGCGCGUAGGCGGCCAGUGCAAGUCAGUUGUGAAAUCUCCGAGCUUAACUCGGAAAGGUCAACUGAUACUGCUCGGCUAGAGUGCGGAAGGGGCAACUGGAAUUCCUGGUGUAGCAGUGAAAUGCGUAGAUAUCAGGAGGAAUACCGAUGGCGAAGGCAGGUCUCUGGGCUGACACUGACGCUCAUGCACGAAAGCGUGGGGAGCAAACAGG
This 254-nucleotide ribosomal RNA is filed under the name uncultured bacterium. RNAcentral describes it as "partial 16S ribosomal RNA". It matches the Rfam family "Bacterial small subunit ribosomal RNA", at positions 524 to 776 of the family's 1533-position model. The record is from RNAcentral.